This is a long non-coding RNA of Felis catus (domestic cat), 1876 nucleotides long. RefSeq lists it as uncharacterized. NCBI's taxonomy places the organism in Eukaryota, Metazoa, Chordata, Mammalia, Carnivora, Felidae. The transcript has 2 exons. The record is from RefSeq and is a predicted model, not a curated record.
CCUUGUUGAGAAAGCAUGCUCUGGUGUAUUUAAAAAUGGCUCCUUUCCCUCUACCCCUGCUGGAAGCUUGAGGGAGUAGUUCUCAGGUAUUUACUAGGGGGAAUCUGGUCAAACUCCCGGAGGUAAAUCUCAUUGUUCUGGGGGUUUCCCAUGAUUGGAUCACCCUGGAGUUUUUAGCUCCUGGACUUGUCCACUUGGAGCCUACAGCAAUUUGUCAAUUAUGGUUCCAGGUUUCCUGCCCAGCACUGGUUCCCAGGGCCGUCUCUCCUCUGAAAUGUAAAAAGACUCCUAAAAUUGAUUUGGAGCUACCAAAGACCCUGGACAGCCAAAACAAUUUUGAGUAAGAAGAACAAAGCAAGCGCUAUUCCACUCCCUGAUUUUAAGAAAUAUUGCAAAGCUAUAGCAAUCGGCAAUGUGGUAUUGGCAUAACAACCUAGAGAUCAAUGGAACAGAAUACAGAGCCAGCAAUAAACCCUCGCGUAUAGAGUCAACUAAUAUUUGACCAGGGGAGCCAAAAACAGUCAAUGGGGGAAAAGUCUCUUUGUUAAAGGAUGCUGGGGAAAAUUGGAUAUUCACACGAAAGACAAUGAAAUUGGACCCUUGUGAACAAAAACCAGCUCACAGUGGAUUGAAGACUUAAAUGUAAAGCCUGAAACAAAAGACUCUUAGAAGGAAGCAGGAUAAAGGUUCUGACACUGGGCCAGACAAUUAUUUCUUUUGGCACCAAAAGCACAGGCAACAUAAAGCAAAAAUAAAAUGGGAUCACAUCAAACUAAAAAGCUGCUGUACAGCAAAGGGAGUCUUCGUCAAAGCAAAAAGGCAACCUAUGGAGUGGGUGAAAAUAUUUGCAGACCAUUUAUCUGAUAAGGAGUUAGUAGCCAACAUAUAUAAAGAACUCCUAUAUCUCAACAGCAAUAAAACCAAGCAAUUGAAUUAAAAAAAUAAGACCUUUUCUGGCCAAAAGACAAUUCCUUCUAAAGAAGACCUACAAAUGGCCAACAGGUAUGUGAAAAGGUGCUUCAUGUCACUAAUCCUCAGGAGAAGGCAAAUCAGAACAACAGUAAGUUAUUGCCUCCUUUACGGUUGGUUAUUAUAUCUAUAGAAAAAAAUAACAAUGGACAAGUCUUGGGGAAAGUAGGGAAAACGAUGUUCUUGGUGGUGGGAAAGUAAAUUAGUACAGCCACUAUGGAAAACAAUGUGGAGGUUUCUUAAAAUACUAAAACUAGAAUUAACACUUAAUUCAGCUGUGGAGAGCAAGAUGGAGUCACUCAUGUCAAGCAGGGACCUAAGCAGCCAAGGGCAUAGCAGCUAAGACCUGUUAUCACCAAAACCUGCACAGGCUGAAGGCACCCAGAACUGGUAACCAUCAAAGCCAGGAGAGCCUGGAAGAACUGAGGGCUGGUAAUCAUGAGGACCAGAAGAAGUUUGCAAAGGCCCAAGGCUGAUUAAACCCCUUUAAGAAGGGAUGGUUUCAGCAGCAUGCAUCACCUAUUGUCGGACUGUCAGACUCUUGAUGUGUACUCUUCCACAUCUGAUGGCCCUAAAGAGGCAGCCGCUGCUUAAGGCUCUGCCCAACUGGUCUGUGAACAUAGUAAAGAUUCUCCACUGCUUGAACAGAAUAAGCAGUGAGUGCCGAGAGCUGACCGGGAAGCAGACAGGGUCCUUACCUCAGGGAACACUCAUAGACUCACCUUGAGUUUGCUUUGUUAACUUCUUAUGCCUCACCAUAUCUUCUUUGUUGUGUGACUUCACGUUGUAGUUGGUGCGAUGUGUACGAAGCCAAGUUGUAGGUCAUUGAGUCGGGAAUCUUGAGUCGGCUUUAUAAUUAUGUUAACCUUACUUCAUGACUGAAUAAAGCUGCCUUGGUGGAAAGACA